CACAAAGGGAAAAAAAAAAGUCUUCAUAAGUGGAAGAAUUUUACAUGUUGAAAAAGUAUUUAUGUCCCUUGGAAAAAUUUGUGACCUAAUUUCUUAGCACUCCGGUUUGCUUUGGCUCUAUACAUAAGAACUCAAUUAUCCUACCAUGUACUACUUGGUCUGUAUGUUGAAUUGGUUAUUUUAUUUGUGACUGAACCUCAAUUUACUCUGUCUCCAGAUACUAUCACACUGCUAUGUGUAUAAGGAAUUUGAGGAAGAAAAGAUGCAAUUAAUUUCCAUUGAACUGAUUAUUUACCAAUGCUUAAAAAAAAUUGACACAGCCGGUUACAUGAUUUAUUGGCUUAUGUAAUUAUAUAUUUAUUGAAAUACAAAUUGAUUAAUGUUCUUUGCCUAAACUUUGAUUUUGUUUUAAUAGACUAAUUCCAAAUAAAAGUUUUGAUCAGUUUGAUGUAAUCCAAAGUAGAAAACAACUAAUGAGUAGGCCUCUUAAUGUUUUUAGGGCAGUUCCUGGAGUAUACAAUUUCCUUUCCUGCUCUACAUUCUAGAUGAAUGUAUCUGUUAGCGUAGUUGUAUAUGUGACACCUUGUAAUGGUGCAGCUAGAUUAAAAAUAAAGGAAUACAUUCAGCCCCUGCAAAUUUUUUGGCAUUACUGAGAAAAGGAAUCUUUAAUUAAUUAUGCUUCUUAGUUAAUAAAGUUACUAUACGAUAUAAAAUUUUCAAAGAAUUCUAAUGUAAUAAAAUAUACAGUAGUGCUACUAUAUGAACUGUAUCUUUCUAUCAUGAUUUUGAUAUUCACCUAAUGGAAUUCAAGUUUAGUUUUAUUUUAACUUAUGAAGUAUUUUAGUUGGUGGAAUGGACUGAAUUGUGUCCCCUUCAAAGUUCAUAUGUUGAAGCCCUAAUCCCUAAUGUGACUGUAUUUGGAAAUAGAGCCUAUAAAGAGGCAGUUGAAGUUAAAUGGGGUCAUAAAGGUGGGGCCUUAAUCCAAUAGGACUGGUGUCCUUAUGAGAAGAGGAAGAGACCCCAGGGAGACACAGCAAAAGCAUGUGUGCAGAAGCCCAUCUACAAGUCAAGCAGAGAUGCCGCAGGCGAAACCAGCUCUGCCAGCACCUUGAAUUUGGACUUCCAGCCUCCAGAACUGUGAGAAAGUGCAUUUCUGUUGCUUAAGCCACCCAGUCUGUGGCAUUUUGUUAUGGCAGCCCCAGCAAACUCAUAUAAUUGGAUACUGUUCUAUUUGUUAAAAUUUAAUGCCAAAAGUAAUUCACAUCCUGCUGUUUUUAGAACUACUAGCAGGCAUGAUUUUUCAUGAAGGUCAGUUGGAGACUUUAAAAAAAUUCAGUGGGGAAGAAAUUAUAAUAUAUUUUCCUUUAUCUGAGUUUCAUAUGUUGCUUUAUAUUAGAGCAGUAAAGAUUUUCCUCUUUACGAAUAAUUUGAUUUUAAUCUUACCACAAAUGUUUCGUUACAAAGCACUGAGAAAACAUAGGACAAGAUGGAAAAGUAAAACAUCAUUUCUUAUUCUACUAUGUAAAAAUAAUUACUCUGAAUAUUUUGCUAUAAGAAUAUCAAUAUAGUCAGUAAAAAAAGUGGAGGGAGUAAAUAUACACAUUAAUUUGUUUGGAUUUAAAAUUUAGCGUAUGGACAUUUCUGUGUCAUUAACUAUACUCACAUGUACAUACACUUUUUAGAAACUGAGGCAUCAAAUUCUAUUGUAUGAAUUUAACAUUCAUUAAUUUAACCAAUCUACUAUUACUGUAUAAUUAGAUUUUCAAAUAUUCUCUGAUAAAUAUGAUAAAUUUUCUAUGACAGAUAUUUUCAAAAAUUUAUGAUAAAUUUUCUAUGAGAGAUAUUUUCAAAAAUUAAGAGAUAAAUAUUUUCAGCUGUCUCUCUUCUUCAAAAGCCUUCUCUUCUACCUUCAAAAGAGGAGGGAUCCUUUUUGUUUAGGCAGUUCCAGGAAUGGGCUUGUGCUGUGUUGAUCCAGGAAAUGGAUGAAUUAGAGCACUGUGUAAGUCUAAAAGGCCAUAUUAAUUCAGGCCAGGAAGACAUGCAAGAAAGAAAAAAGCUGAGCUGAAAAGAUGGAGAAAAGAGCAUUUCCAGGUAGCAAGGAGGAGCACAGUCAGCACAGCCUCUCGGAGUCAUAACUGGACAUUGGGUUGACCAAUGUAACACCAACUGUAAUCACUGAUGGGCACUUUCAGGGCUCUCUGUGUGAUGACCAGACCUGCCAGCUUUGGCUGUUGCCAACAGUUGUGAUUUAUCUACAAUGCUUUGCACAUGGAUAUUUUUGUCACCGCAUAUUUUACAACAGCUGUGAUCCUGAUGGGGAUUUAGUUAACCAAAGGCCCUCUGCAUGCAAGCGGUCGCCAGGCAGCUAAUGGAUAGAGGGCUGCAACGACAAUAAAGUGAGCAGACCGACCGUGCAGCUGGGGACCAAAUGUAGGAUCAUAACUAGCAGUUGGCCAUUACGGGGUUAACUGCUGGUGUUCUGUUUCAGUUACCCAUUAUCAACAGCCAUCUGGACGCAGGUGAUCAUCCUUCUGACAAAUCAUCUGAAGGUCUUAGUUCCAAGAGGAAAAAUGCUUCUGUCAGAAGACCCAACUUGAUGUCAUUGAACUGGAAUUUAAGACUGCAACCUGACCACUUCAGGUUCCUUAUGCAUCUGAAUCAACAGGUGAAAAAUGGAGUUACUAUACUGACUGAGGUGAUUGAUCCUGAUUCCAAGGGGAAAUUGGACUGCCACUAUAAAAUGAAGGGGGAACCAAAUGACAAAUGACAAUGAAUAAAGAACCCUGAGCCGUGUAGGGUCCUCUCUCUCAGGCUUCCACUCUAUGAAGCCUCUCACCCCAGUGAGGCUUGCUCUGCUUCCCCUCUACUCAUCCAGCACUUAUUCUUCAGGAUUUCUGGAGCAAGAAGGUAAAGGUUAUUUCCACAUCCAGAACUCCUCCUUUGAGGUAACUUGGUCAUCUAUCUUUAGUGCUCUUAAUGCUUUCAGGUUCUCAUCACUCCACACACAUUGGGUGUGCACAUAUCGAAUGCACUUGCUAGUCUGUUCGGGGUUGUGGGGGCCAUGUGACAAGUGCUGGUCAGUGAGUUGUGAGUAGAAGUGAUGUGUGUCACUCUAGGGAUGUGAGCCCUAAUCAUUGCUGCAGACCUUUUUAGCAACCCCUUUUCUUUUGGGGAUGAUGAUGAGAAAAGUCCAAGUCCCUGAAUGACUGUGAUGAUCAGAAGCCCACUGCUCCAAUGAUGGACAUGUCAUGUAAGCAAGACAAAUAAACUGUUUGUUAUUUUAAGUCACUGAGAUCUGGCAGUUGUUUGCUACACAAGCAUGAGCUAGCCUAUCCUGAGUGACACAGUAUUAUAUAGUAUACUGUCAUAGUGGUGUGCUAGUGGCAUUUGCUUAAGUCUUUCUUAGGUUUGGAAUUCAUGGGAGUGACUCUUAAUGAUAGAAUUUCUGCCAUGGGAAAGGGAGCAUGGGAGCCCAUGCUGGGACAGAAUUGGGGCAAAUAGAACUUGUAUAUACAUCUGACAGCAACUGCCUACACAGCCCACCUGAAGACUUGGUUUUGAUAAUGGUUUAACUGACAGAUAUUUUUGAGUUUUCAUUUUUUGAUUGAGAAUGAAAGCAUAGGGUGUCAACUGCAGAUUGUAUUAGCCCCAAAUCUUUUCACUGCAUUUUCUUAACAUUUUGACUCUCAGACAUUACUUAAAAAUAAAGAAAGCUGGUGGAAGCCAUUGACUGCAGAAUCCACUAUUUAAUGCACAUGUUUGGGGAGGGUUUCUUUCCUUGCUAUCUUUAACAGAUGCAAUUAGUGUAAAAAGAAGUUAGAGGAAGCUACUUUGCAAUUAUCAAACAACUUAGAAAUAAAACCCCAGCACUCACACUGAUAGCAUUGCCAAAGCCUCCCUGAAAAAAGUUCCUGGAGCUUAAGUAGGAAAAAUGCAUUGUAAGAGUGAUGACAGCGCCUCACCAAUAAUUCUGUAAAAUAUGACUAAUAGUAUUGGAACAAGAAUAAAGAUUUUAGAUUUUAUUUUUUGUGGGGGGGAGGGAACACACACAAACACAAUGACUAGUCUUUGGUUAUAGACAAAUCAGAUCUAAUUUUUUAUUAUUAAAGUCAUCUACCUGCCAGAAACUCAAAAUCUUUUUAUGAACAGUUUUUCAAAGACACAGUCUAAUCUUUUCUUAAAUAAAGUGAGAUGUCAAAUCAGCAGAGAAUUAAGAUGUAUUUAUUAAAAAAAAAAAACUCAAGCAGAAGGGUAUCUGAUGUUUUACAGACAUUCCAACACCUUCAGGAAAUUUGAACUCACACCAAAGGGUCUGAUAGUCAUUUGAAUCUCCAUCUGUACCGGAACACAUGUGCACACACAAUGCACAUUGAAUCACUCCAGUGGAAAAAAAAAAAAAAGAAGAACCCUGGUCUUAAAGAAGUCGUCUACCACUCUUCUUAACCACAAAAUCUUUGGCAGCUGGAAACAGAGUGGCUAGAGUCAUCUGGUUAUAAAGCUUCCUUUGGUGCAAGAAGCCUCAAUGCUGAGCAAUGCGCCACUACUGCUCAAGGGACACAGUGACUGUAAACUAAAUGGCCUAGAAGAAAUCUAAGACUGAGGGACAAUUUUGGAAACUAAGGAGGAUUACUUGCUUUGAUUUGUCUCAGAUAGUUGCUUCUCAGUUUCUUCUAAGUUUAAUUAUUUGCUUCAUGUUGUCAAUUUGUAUCUAGAAUUUGAAUAUGCUAAAAUUAAUUUUCGUUUUUCUCUCUUGUAACCAAAAAUAUCCCUGCCAUUUCAAAUCCUUGAUCUGUAAGAACAAUGUUCUAGUAUACUGGGGGUCAAGUAAGUAGAAAUUUUAGAGGUUUCAUGUGGGUGAAUUCAUUAUCAGCUUGGUUGCAAUAUAUGUUAAAGGUUAAUCGCUACAAUUUAUUGUAAUUUUAUUGUACUGGGCAUGUGUUACCUAAUAUACAUCAUCUCAUUUAAUCUUUACAGGAAGCCUACUAUUAUUACUCACAUUCUACAGAUGAGAAAACUGAGUCUUUACAGUGUUACUACUUGUCCAAGCUCACGCAGCUUAGAAAUAGAAAACAGGAUCCAAACUCAGUCCUAACUCUUAACUUGUUGCCUUCUGCAAUACUCUUUACUCUUCUUCUUUUAUAAAAUGCUAGUUUCCUCUUGAAAAGAGCAUCUGUACAUCUUUGAAAAUGAUAAUUUGUGUUUCCAUGAGGAUUUCCAUUUGAAAAGAGAUACAGAUGGUUAAGUGCCUGCAAGCACAGAGUCUGGAGCCAGGACCACUGUCUUCCUAAUGGGGGUCCAUGAGUGAAUCAUGUGUAUUGCCUGUGUUUCCAUUCUGUGCCACAUAGUCUUGCCAGGGAAAUUUAUUUAUUUUUCGGACUUAGAAAGCCCUAACCAUGUCCAGCAGAUAAUAUGCAGAUGUAAGUGUUAUUAUUACAUGUAUCCAUAAAUAUUAUAUUCAUGUAUGUAAGUCAGCACCACAAGUAAGCUAUCCCAGCUCAGCCACCCAACUCACACAAAAAAGCCUUUCAAGAGGUUAAAUAGAAGCUUCACUGCAGCUGUGACUCAAAGAAGUCCAGGUCCAGAGCAGGACACAAUGAAAAAGUGACAUUGUGCCACAUGGCUCAUGAACUUUCACCUUAAACUCUGCCCACGUCCCCUCCCAAAAUUCAUUACAUAAUAGUCCCAUGCUGAACUUCAUCUCACAUUUCAACAGUUCCUUGGGCAUCUCAGUUGUUGGCAUUCAGAUUUCCUGCUGGUCAGGUAGUACUACUGAUUAUCUGCAUCUCUCUUUCACUCCCUCCAUGUCAUCCCAGGCCUUUCUUCACUGAGGAGGCACUUCCUAGAUAUGGAGUAAAAAUCGAAACUGUGGAGCAGCAGCCAGGGCAGCCAAGCUGGGAGAAUGGAAGGACUCGGUAAUCAGGAUCCAGUACUGCCGCUGAUUAGAACCUGGGAAGUGGGGCACAUUCUGCCCCCAGGAUGCAGCAAACCCCUUCCUAAGCCAUUCUGUCUGUGCUGCUCUGCAUGCUGACACCAAUCAACUUGCAAGUGAGCAGUGCUGUCAGCGCUGGAUAUUUUCUCCUCCAUUGUCACUGGUCUAAUGACAUCCUCUGGUUUAUGCACUUUUCUCUCCAACACCACCAUAAGCUAGAAUAACUCACUCAGUCUGGGUGUUAGGCACCUCUCCAAUAAUUCAUGCCAAGUAAAGGAAAUCCCUAGACUUAAGGACAAAUAGAGUAGCAUAUGUACAGAGUACUAUGCAGCCUCCAUGUGUAAACUUUCCAUUUAAUAUAACGAAAUAAAGCAUUUCAAUGUGCGUGGUGCCUUUUUUUCUUUUUUUGCAGAUAAAGAAGUAAUUAGGGACAAGAGAUCCUAGUACAAUAGGACUAUUAUUCCUGAAAUCACUAUGCAUGCAAGUGGAAGUUUUAUCUAUGUUGGUGGAUUUCAGAGUCUAGAAUGCUAUGGGAGCUUAACAAAUGAUUGUUAAUUAUUUUUUAAGCACAAGUGU
Manis pentadactyla (Chinese pangolin) is the source of this 6505-nucleotide long non-coding RNA. RefSeq lists it as uncharacterized. The record is from RefSeq and is a predicted model, not a curated record. NCBI's taxonomy places the organism in Eukaryota, Metazoa, Chordata, Mammalia, Pholidota, Manidae. The transcript has 8 exons.